AUGAUUGUCAACAAUGCACCUUGGUCAACUUUUUAAUCUUUGACAUCUUUUUAACUUGGUCAACUUUUGAAUCAUUGUCAUCUCUUUAAUAUUGUCAUAUUGUCAUCAUCUUUUUAAUCGCCAUCUUUUGUCAUCGUUUUAAUCUUUGUCAACGUUUUCUCGUUUUCAUCGUUUUGCCGUAGUCAACUUUUGGACGUAGUCAACUUUUUGACGUCAGCAGCUUAAUCAGCGUUUGGCAUCGUUGCGGCAGCAGAUCAGCUCUCCCACGUAAUUUCUCGAGAAAUUACUUUUUCUAGUUAAUUAUAAAAGUUUUACAGUAUGACAUGGUAUUUUUAAAUACUAAUAAAUGCUUAAUUUUGCAGUAAAAGUAAACAGAUCUUUAUUAGGCGACAGUUUUUCUAUAUAUGCAAUAUUUUGUUUUUUAGUUUUCCGUAUUUUGAACAGACCGACGUCUCGCUAUGAAAAGAGGAAGUCGCGACGAGCGUGUUUUGUGCUCUGCUGUAAAGCGCGUAAUACGGGCGCAAGACGUUUUUGAAGCGCGGCUGGCUGAACGACGGAUGAACGAAUGACUGCUCAUUUGACCGCAGUCUGGUAGUUUACCGUGUUUUUAUUUAGCGCCAGCGGCUGGGGAGAGCGGAGCCUCGCUGGUAGGCGACGACUGCGGGGGCAGCGACCGGGACGCACAGCUGCACUUCAAUCCAGAUUACUGCUUUGGGUCUGGAUACGAGUGACCCACGGGUUUGUGCCCUUCCCCGACGCUGCUGUUUCUGGCUUCUUCUUUUUAUUGUGUCUCGGUUUCGCCAAGGUUUCGGUGUUUCCUUUUGUAUCAACCACUUGCAGCUAUUGUUCAUAUUGUUAAAGUUUUGUUUCUUGAGAAAUAAAGUCAACGUUAAAGCAUUCAGUAUUGUAUGCAAAUUAGAUUGCAAUGCAUUAUGGUUAGUGAAUUGUGAACAAUUGUGGCACCCUAACAACUAAGAAUGAGUGACCCUUCCUUAAAGUGGAGGUUGUAAUAUGUUUGCAAGUUCACCUUUGUAGGUGGUAACUUAUGUGAGGAUUUAGUGGUGUUUAGUCUUGUGUUUUUUACUUAUAAUAAAAAACAAAAUAAAAAUGAAAUAUUACUAUAUUAAAUAUGUAUAAUCACUUUCAAGCUUUUUUUCAUCAAGAUGUUCAGCGUUGUUUUUUAGAUAAUUAUAUUUAGCUGGUGAGGGUAGGAAUGUAGAUUGACCGGCAAAUUGAGAGCUUUGCUGUUGGAGAAAAUAUAUUUUCCUCUAUUCUCAUUUAUCUUGUUUAUUCAUUAUCUUUUACAUAUAAUACCUUUUUACAUUUAACAUUUAUGGUUUGCAUUUGCUGUGCCUUAUAACCACAUUGACAGUUGCACAGACGUCUAAGCCACCACAAUUUUUUGGUCGAGAGCCAUGGCUUCAGAUUUGGAGGAGCUGAUUCUCAUCCCAGCCGCUUCACACUCAGCUGCAAACCACCCCAGCGCACGCUGAAGGUCCUGGCCCAAUGAAGCCAACAGGACAACAUCCUCUGCGAAAAGCAGAAACGCAAUCCUGUGGUCCCUGAACCAGACCCCCUCCGGCCCCUGGCUGCUCCUAGAAAUUCUGUCCAUAAAAACAACGAACAGAACCGGUGACAAAGAGCAGCCCUGCCGAAGUCCAACAUGCAGGAACAGAAAUUGGCGUUGUCGGCAGGAUCCCGCGGCAGGUCGUCUGGACGGUGUGACCAGGGACGAUAGUCCUGAGGACUAGGGUCGCUCAGCCUCCAAACCUCUACAGACAUUCAGAGCUGGGAGGACUGCUCACCCGUCUGGAUCGCCUCUGACGAGAUCCACGAACUCAGAUUCAAACUCAAAUCCUAAUUUGGCUCGGCUCGGUGAGAGAGAUUCCUUUUAAUUUGGGAAAAAACAAAAAGAAAAUAUAACUAGGAAAAGAGAUAAUAAUAUUUCUAAAACGACUAUGUGGCUGAAAACAUCUAAAAUAUAAUAAUUAGGACCAAACAAUUUUUUUAAAUUAAAAAAUUUAAUAUUCGGGUAAAAAUUAAUUAGGUCAAAGUCUGCCCUGGUGGUCGAGACGGUGGUUGCUAAGGGUUGGCUCGUGGGACCGAGCUUGUUUUGUCUGUACUGAGGAUACAGACCAGUGUGCAGAUCUGAGCGCAGUCCAAAGGGUGUGGACAAGGAAAUAAAAGACGGCUUCUGAAAUACGGAGCGCGUUUGCAGGGGGAAGUGUUUUUGAGAUACGAGGGACCCGGGUCUUAGAGGGGCCUGACGGUGAGGGACCACUUCCGAGAACCCUGUCGCUGAUCUGAGCGGUUCCCUUUCUACGGAGACGUCCGUGGAAGAGAAAUUUCGAAAAAAGGUUCCGGCCGGAACACAUAAAAAUCUAAGGCAGGAAACCGCCGGGACUCUGAAAGAUGGGUUCGGGGCGAUCUAAGUCUCCACCACCAGACUGCAGCAUUACAAAAGUAAAAGUAAUUAAAAGUAAAAAGUUAAUAUGGUUAUUAGUGCGUUUCAUGUUUCCAUGAGUGGGAAACUGGUUAUGGGUUCAAAAGGAGAAUCACUUAGUGUAAGGACAUAUGCACCUUAAAAGAAAAAUUAGAGACAAAAGAAAAUACUUGAAAAAGCAAAACUAUCAAAACUAAAGCCCUAAAAGAAACAAAAGAUGAAAGUAACGGAAAGAAAGGAGAUAACAACUCUGGGGAAGAAUUGUUUGCACUCUGCCACAGACACACAUACACCACACACACACGUCAUGUCAAGAGCAAAUGCUCCCAUUGUUUCUGCUCUCUAUUCUAAUGCAGAACCGAGCGCGAUGAGGGUAAAUCCGGAUCUGGACUCCUUUCCCACCAUCAGCAGAAGAACCGAAGGAGAAGAAGCGCCGACCAACAACCAGAACAGGGUGGAAGCGCUGACACCACAGCAGCUGGAGGACACAGACCACAGCAUGGACGCCUCAGCGACUCUCACAACGUCUGCAGCCAUCACGUUCUGGGCUCAUCAGAUGAACCAGCUACUACAAGCAUGUGUGUCUGACACAGACACCUGCUUAUGACAAUCAGCAAAGGAAAACAAGGACAGAGCAACAGCAGAGAAGACGUGCUCUGACACAGACACUGGUUGAAACAACAGGAGAGGCUUCAGACGUGAUCGGCCCAAUAGAGCUGCAUGCGAGGAUCCAGGAAAGGUCUGUCAUCGAGGAACAACUGUCCCAUUGAAAGGCUUCACCCACUGGCGCUCACAUCAGACUGAUGGUUGGGGAAGGAGGAAGGUGACGGUUCCUUUUCACGUGAUGUACAAGACGGUACCGCAAAAACACACACACAUUCAUACACGCAAUGAAGAAACACGCUUACAGCUGAUACACGCUCAAAUUCAUGUUCAUGCUUAUCUGCUCGCAAUGAAGAAUCGCUUUUUGCUUAAAAAAAAUCCCACAGAGUGAUUUUAAAAUGAUGACAAACAGCUAAAUGACAAUUGCUGUAUGACUUUACAGUCUGAUGGGUUCAAACUAUUUUAACUUGCAACAAAUUCAGUAAUAAAAUCCUCUAUGUUUCUAAAAGGGUUUGUGCACAAUAUAGGUUUGUCUGGCCAGACUAGAAGACUAUAGGAAACAAAACAGACUAUAGAGAAAACAAAACAGACUGUAGAAAAAGAAACAAAAAAACAGACUAUAGGAAGACUGAGACUGACUGAAACAGACUAUUAAUGACUAUUAAAGGGAAGACGACUAUUAGAGAGAAGUAAUAAUAAUUACUGUACGUACCAGACUAUUAAAGAAAAACUUAUUCUUUCACUGUCUUGUGCAACAUCUGACAGCAAGACACCUUAACAUUCAUUUUUGCUUUCAAACUUGUGCCCAGUUAAAUUUUUAGGAAGAGAUCUCAUGUAGUUUAGAUAUUUGAUUGAUUUCCACUCCAGACGGAGUGAAGGGUAACAUCUACAGACAUUCUAAAUAAUCCCUCUUUUGUUGGUGUUAACUUCAGCUCAGCUGUGCUCUUAUCAUUGGCUGCUGAGGGGGGGCUGUAACUGAGGCCCUCACACAGGCUGCAUCGCAGCUUGUUUAUGAUUUCACACACACACACACAAACUGACCUCAACUUCCCUCUUUUGGGAUGAACACAGGUCUGCGCUUGCGAUUUCUUUUCCUAACGAACAAAAAGAUUUUUGAUUUUUAUUCUACAGUUCCACACGUCCCUCUGUGAAAACAUGAUGGAGACAGAUGCAGGACGUGGGUCCUUUCGUGAUCAGAUGUCAACGGGGUGGAGACUGGUGAACGACUUCUGACCCCAUGGGACGUAUUCACCCACAUUACAUGCUUUUGUUUUUAUUUUUAUUUUUCAGAGGACGCUCUGAGCCAACACUCAGCCUUACAGGAAGCCCUGUUUCCCUGUGGCUCACACACAGACAUGAUGUAGGUUUGAUCAGAGGAUGUGAACCAGUGGUCAUCACACCUAAAUCUGACCACAGACCAUGUGAACAACAACACCCUCUUAAAGGAAGCCAUAGAUGGUGUUACUGCAGACACCACUAAGCUACUGAAACAUUGGAUGCUACAGGCCACAAAGAGAGCCUGUUUAAAUUACACUUUGUUUAGACAAAGGUUAUUUUCUGGGUCAUUGUAAUUACAGCUGAUGGCAAAUCCAUCUCACCCAACAGAUUUGAAGCAAUUUGAAACCUGCCUAAACCGUGCACGUAUAAACAGCUUAUCUUUUCUAGGUUUUUGUUCUUAUUGCAGGAACUUCAUUCUUAACUUUAAUGUCUUUGAGGCCCCACUCAGGGUUCUGAUGCAGACAUCUUCAUCGUCCACUUCUUGUCUCACGUGGACGUCUGAGGCUGACGUUUAUUGACCUCAUGCUUGCUCUUCAGUCGGCUCCUACUUUGGGUCUUCCUGAUCUGACCCUACGCAACCUUUCACUCAAACAGUGAAUGAGAAAUCAGGUUGUACGACUUCUGUUCUUUUGUCCUCAUACUGUGUCUUUGAUUCUUUUGGAAAACAUCACAUCUUUCUACAGCCCGAUGGCUUAGAUGCAACACCACCUUACUAAACAUGCUGAACGUUACUAUCAAGAGGCCGUCUUGAAGUCUGGCUCUUUGCUAAGACACUACUCUGCUCAGGCUGCAGAGUUGAUCACAUUGACUGAAGCUAGUAAACGAGCAGAAGGAGAGUCUGUUACCAUCUACACGGACUCCACAGACGCUCUGUGGAAGCAUAGGAAGCUUUUUUGAAGUCUAAUUGCAAACCUAUCUCACAUCAUGAUUAGGUUCUGCUUUGCUGGACGCUGUCCUGCCACCUACAGCUAAUGCUGUUUUUACAUCAUCAGUGACGACUUUGUUUCUGCCGACAUGCAGCUGCAGACGCUGCUGCGAAGGACGACAACCCCUCCCUCUCCUGAUCCUCGUUUCCUCUCCUCAUCCUUGUUCCCUCUCUCCAACUCUCUCUAUCCUUUCCUUCCUUUCUUCCUCUCUCCCUGUGCUUUAAACAUUUUCUACCUCGCAGGAACACAGACUCUGGCUGACGAAUGGUUCCACCUGUAGCCAUGGAGUCUGGUUUGGGCCUGACGACAAGCCGUGCCGCCCAAACACUUUUUCCCCACAAUUCAGAUUUCCCAACAGGUGAAAACAGGCGACAGGACCAUCACACCAUUCAACCAGGGGACUGAGCGAUCGUUAAGGAGUUCAGGAGGAAGCACUGGACCUCCAAACGGUGGCGAGGCCCCUUCCAGGUCCUUCUGACGACCAACACGACUGUAAAGAUCGCAGAAAGAGCGACUUGGACCAACUCCAUCCAGGAAGGUCCCGGAUCCAACAGACGACCCUCCAUCUACAUCUACACCACACAAGAAAACCACCACUGACGAAAAGAAUUGAGAAGAACGACCCUCGCUGUGCUCACACACUCACUGAGGCGAGGCUGCGUUGACCGUUCAGCUAAAGGUGUGAGCCAAGCGCCGCCUAAAGCUGCACCGGUGAAUCACACUAUCAGACUAUACAUCUACACACACGUUUCUGAGAAAACACACACACGAGCAGCCUUGAGUUGCCGACGCUGGACGACGUGUAGACUCUUCACAUCACGGGAGUGACAGUGACUCAGACGACAUUGGGAGGAAACCUGGCGGUGAUAACGAACCCCAAGUGUCUCUGUGAUCAGCUGAUCACAACCUGAAGAACCCCAACGAACUGUCAAUACUUCAACACACAGGUUGGAAACAAUCUAACGCUACUGUUCAACAGGAAGAAGCAGAUUGUUACGAGACAUCAAUUGUAAACAUGCUUUGUUAGACUUCAUUUUAUGUUACUUGGAUUAUUGCCUUUAGCAUAUGAUGUUUCUAUGUAACUUUACACACUACUUUUGAAUGAGAAAAUUCACAACAACAACAACACUGAGUUUAAAUAUCCUGAAGUUGACUUGGUGUUUAAUUUGCUCACAAUCACUUUAUUCACUGCUACAAUUAGUUCUAUCCUUCAUCUACAGAUGAAAGACAACAGAAGCGGAAAUAUGCAUCAUCAUUCUGGUUAAAUCCCUGAAUCUCCUAUUCGCUCUAGACGCAAAUGUACAAUUAAAGAUCCGAAAGCAUUAAAUCUAUCUUAAGAAUAUAUGAAACAGAACCCCACCGGAAACGUAUGGCUAUCAUACAUUAAUUGUCUUUAUUACAUUACAAUUGAAUGGCCGUAGACACAUUGUUAGCAGAGAAAAGAGGCGUUUGUGUUAUGUUUGGAGAGGCAUGUUGUACUUACAUCCUGAAUAACACUGAUUCUAAUGGUAUUGUGGCGAAGGCGCUACACGGCCUUCAGAAUCUCAGCUAACUCUGGUAUAGAUUCUUCCUCUUGGAAUUGGCUAGACGAAAUGUCUGGAAAAUGGAAAUCUGUUCUCAUGUCCACAGCUGUUUCCUUUAUAAUUGAGAUGGCUGUGAUUCUCUUGUUUGGUUUUUGCGUUAUCCCACUGGUUAGAGGUCUCAUCAUGCGUGCGACCUCAGCAACACUCUCGUAUGAGAUGACACAAUGCACUAUGUUCAAAAACCCCAACUCUAAUUUACUUAAUGACUUUGACGAUGAUCUUAGGCUAUCUAAUCACAAAAUAUAAUCUGAUACAAAUAUGAUUAUGAGCUUAUUUUCUUCACAUGCCAAUACAGAGGUUAUUCUUGUAUAACUACCCAAAAACAGCUCCCAACCUUUUGUCCCUUAGUUACUUCCAUUUUAUGUGAAGGUGUAUUUUGAAUCUUGAUGAGUUAAUACCCUUAUUGUUUCAUUUGCAAGGAUCUUUUAUUAUUACAGAAUGUGAUGUUAACAAUUUUUCUUCUUAGUGGUUGAUUAAUGUGUAAUCAAAAGGGGGGAGUGUUAUGGCAAAAAUUGUCUCUUCCUUAUUUCUAUGUCUCUUCCUUAUUUCUAUGCAGUUAUUAUACGAGUUAUGACUUAUGUUCUGCAAUUAAUAUCUUAUGUUUUGUCUUACUGUAUGCAUUUGACAUUUCACCUAGAUUGUUCAAUGGUUGUCUCUGCCUGAUAGACUCUCAACUCUAGCUCCCAAACCCAAGGUCGGGGAGUUGUGUCUCUGUCUGUUGAGACUUGGUGCUCCUUUCUCACAGAUAGUUGGACGUCAGCGAUGCAGGUGUGAGAAAGUAAAAAUCUUCACACACACUGCGACAGGGAGGAGAUGGUGCAUGUAAUUUGAUUGGGUUGGAAAGACAUUCCACCCUAGUCGGACAGAGAAGCUAAAAGGCAGAAGCAACUUGAGGAUCGUGGGCUCUUUGCAUCACACCUUCGUGGUGUGUGCACUGAUCUCCCCAGCUGGUUUUUGGUUUGUUGAUGUGCACGAUCAACAUCCAUGCUUUUUAUUUGCUUUCCCCAUUAUUUUUAUUUUCUUUAUUAUUUCAAUAAAUCGCACAAAAGGACAA
Molecule: long non-coding RNA, 7887 nt
Organism: Betta splendens (Siamese fighting fish)
Lineage: Eukaryota; Metazoa; Chordata; Actinopteri; Anabantiformes; Osphronemidae
Exons: 2
Source: RefSeq, a predicted model, not a curated record